GACGAACGCUGGCGGCGUGCUUAACACAUGCAAGUCGAACGGAAAGGCCCUGCUUUUGUGGGGUGCUCGAGUGGCGAACGGGUGAGUAACACGUGAGUAACCUGCCCUUGACUUUGGGAUAACUUCAGGAAACUGGGGCUAAUACCGGAUAGGAGCACCUGCUGCAUGGUGGGGGUUGGAAAGUUUCGGCGGUUGGGGAUGGACUCGCGGCUUAUCAGCUUGUUGGUGGGGUAGUGGCUUACCAAGGCUUUGACGGGUAGCCGGCCUGAGAGGGUGACCGGCCACAUUGGGACUGAGAUGCGGGCCAGACUGCAACGGGAGGCAGCAGUGGGAGAUUGUGCACGAUGGGCGGAAGCCUGAAGCAGCAACGCCGCGUGCGGGAUGACGGCCUUCGGGUUGUAAACCGCUUUCGCCUGUGACGAUGCGUAAGUGACGGUAAUGGGUAAAGAAGCACCGGCUAACUACGUG
This 468-nucleotide ribosomal RNA is filed under the name uncultured bacterium. RNAcentral's name for it is "partial 16S ribosomal RNA". It matches the Rfam family "Bacterial small subunit ribosomal RNA", at positions 28 to 507 of the family's 1533-position model. The record is from RNAcentral.